This is a long non-coding RNA of Myxocyprinus asiaticus (Chinese sucker), 270 nucleotides long. RefSeq lists it as uncharacterized. NCBI's taxonomy places the organism in Eukaryota, Metazoa, Chordata, Actinopteri, Cypriniformes, Catostomidae. The record is from RefSeq and is a predicted model, not a curated record. The transcript has 3 exons.
AGCAGAAAAAAGAAAGUUCUACACAUCUGGGAUGGCACGAAGUUCCUGAUUAGUCCAUUCCUUAACUCAUCAUUACUUCAUGUAAGAAAGAAAGUCAUAUGGGUUUGGAACAACAUGAGGGUCAGUAAAUGAUGACAGAAUUUUCAUUUUUGGGUGAACUAUUCAUUUAAAAUGUAGUUGGUGGGUUGAAAAUAAUCAUCACAGGAUGCAAAAAUAUCUUUUGGUGUUUUAUUCUGAUGGCUGUUAAACAAAGAAAAAACAGCAGUUGAU